Molecule: ribosomal RNA, 578 nt
Filed under: uncultured bacterium
Lineage: Bacteria
Description: bacterial SSU rRNA
Rfam family: Bacterial small subunit ribosomal RNA
Source: RNAcentral
GAGGCAGCAGUCGAGAAGCUUCGGCAAUGGGCGAAAGCCUGACCGAGCGACGCCGCGUGAGUGACGAAGGUCCUACGGAUUGUAAAGCUCUGCCAGAUUGGGAAGAAAACUCCGGGGUUAAUACCCUCGGAGCUUGACGGUACCAUCAGAGGAAGCACCGGCUAACUCCGUGCCAGCAGCCGCGGUAAUACGGAGGGUGCAAGCGUUGUUCGGAUUCACUGGGUAUAAAGGGUGCGUAGGCGGCUUGGUAAGUCAGGGGUGAAAUCUGUCGGCUUAACCGGCAAACCGCCCCUGAAACUGCCUGGCUUGAGUCCGGGAGAGGAAGGUGGAAUUCCUGGUGUAGCGGUGAAAUGCGUAAAUAUCAGGAGGAACACCGGUGGCGAAGGCGGCCUUCUGGUCCGGUACUGACGCUGAGGCACGAAAGCUAGGGGAGCGAACGGGAUUAGAUACCCCGGUAGUCCUAGCCGUAAACGAUGGGCACUAGGUGUUGGAGGAGUCUACCCCUCCGGUGCUGCAGCUAAUGCAUUAAGUGCCCCACCUGGGGAGUACGGUCGCAAGGCUGAAACUCAAAGGAAUUG